RNAcentral lists this transfer RNA (118 nucleotides) under Aspergillus egyptiacus. Its description in RNAcentral is "tRNA-Leu". It matches the Rfam family "tRNA". From Rfam's summary of the family: Transfer RNA (tRNA) molecules are approximately 80 nucleotides in length. Their secondary structure includes four short double-helical elements and three loops (D, anti-codon, and T loops). The record is from RNAcentral. Lineage: Eukaryota; Fungi; Ascomycota; Eurotiomycetes; Eurotiales; Aspergillaceae.
GGCAAGGUGGCCGAGCGGUCUAAGGCGCGCGGUUAAGGCUCCAAUUCGGAUCCCUUCUCUUGAUCUUUCAAGUUUCCGCGUCAUUAAUUUGGCGUGGGUUCGAAUCCCACCCUUGUCA